ACGAGAGGCCCUAGUUGAUAUUACAACGGCGUAAAGGGUGGUUAAGGAUAAACAAAAAUAAAGUCAAAUGGCCCCUUGGCCGUCAUACGCUUCUAGGAGUCCGAAGCCCUAAUACGAAAGUAACUUUAAUAAACCCACCUGACCCCACGAAAGCUGAGAAACAAACUGGGAUUAGAUACCCCACUAUG
RNAcentral lists this ribosomal RNA (188 nucleotides) under Cyprinus carpio (common carp). RNAcentral's name for it is "partial small subunit ribosomal RNA". The record is from RNAcentral. Lineage: Eukaryota; Metazoa; Chordata; Actinopteri; Cypriniformes; Cyprinidae.